This 1492-nucleotide ribosomal RNA is filed under the name uncultured Bordetella sp. RNAcentral's name for it is "partial 16S-23S ribosomal RNA intergenic spacer". It matches the Rfam family "Bacterial small subunit ribosomal RNA". Lineage: Bacteria; Pseudomonadati; Pseudomonadota; Betaproteobacteria; Burkholderiales; Alcaligenaceae. The record is from RNAcentral.
AGUUCGAUUCUGGUCAGGAUUGAACGCUGGCGGGAUGCUUUACACAUGCAAGUCGAACGGCAGCACGGACUUCGGUCUGGUGGCGAGUGGCGAACGGGUGAGUAAUGUAUCGGAACGUGCCUAGUAGCGGGGGAGCAAUCACGCGAAAGCGUAGCUAAUAAUGCGCAUACGCCCUUCGGGGGGAAAGCGGGGGACCUUCGGGCCUCGCACUAUUAGAGCGGCCGGAUAUCGGAUUAGCUAGUUGGUGGGGUAACGGCUCACCAAGGCGACGAUCCGUAGCUGGUUUGAGAGGACGACCAGCCACACUGGGACUGAGACACGGCCCGUGACUCCUACGGGAGGCAGCAGUGGGGAAUUUUGGACAAUGGGGAAAACCUCUUGAUCCAGCCAUCCUGCGUGUGCGAUGAAGGCCUUCGGGUUGUAAAGCACUUUUGGCAGGAAGAAACGGCACGGGAUAAUACCCCGUGCAACUGACGGUACCUGCAGAAUAAGCACCGGCUAACCACGUGCCAGCAGCCGCGGUAAUACGUAGGGUGCAAGCGUUAAUCGGAAUUACUGGGCGAAGCGUGCGCGUGCGCGGUUCGGAAAGAAAGAUGUGAAAUCCCAGAGCUUAACUUUGGAACUGCAUUUCUAACUACCGAGCUAGAGUGUGUCAGAGGAGAGGUGGAAUUCCGCGUAGCAGUGAAAUGCGUAGAUAUGCGGAGGAACACCGAUGGCGAAGGCAGCCUCCUGGGAUAACACUGACGCUCAUGCACGAAAGCGUGGGAGCAAACAGGAUUAGAUACCCUGGUAGUCCACGCCCUAAACGAUGUCAACUAGCUGUUGGGGCUUUCUGCCUUGGUAGCGCAGCUAACGCGAAGUUGACCGCCUGGGGAGUACGGUCGCAAGAUUAAAACUCAAAGGAAUUCCGACGGGGACCCGCACAAGCGGUGGAUGAUGUGGAUUAAUUCGAUGCAACGCGAAAAACCUACCUACCCUUGACAUGUCUGGAAUCCCGAAGAGACGGGAGUGCUCGCAAGAGAACCGGAACACAGGUGCUGCAUGGCUGUCGUCAGCUCGUGUCGUGAGAUGUUGGGUUAAGUCCCGCAACGAGCGCAACCCUUGUCAUUAGUUGCUACGAAAGGGCACUCUAAUGAGACUGCCGGUGACAAACCGGAGGAAGGUGGGGAUGACGUCAAGUCCUCAUGGCCCUUAUGGGUAGGGCUUCACACGUCAUACAAUGGUCGGGACAGAGGGUCGCCAACCCGCGAGGGGGAGCCAAUCCCAGAAACCCGAUCAGUCCGGAUCGCAGUCUGCAACUCGACUGCGUGAAGUCGGAAUCGCUAGUAAUCGCGGAUCAGCAUGUCGCGGUGAAUACGUUCCCCGGGUCUUGUACACACACCUCGCCCGUCACACCAUGGGAGUGGGUUUUACCAGAAGUAGUUAGCCUAACCGUAAGGAGGGCGAUUACCACGGUAGGAUUCAUGACUGGGGUGAAGUCGUAUCAAGGUAG